AACGAACGCUGGCGGCAGGCUUAACACAUGCAAGUCGAGCGCCCCGCAAGGGGAGCGGCAGACGGGUGAGUAACGCGUGGGAACGUACCUUUUGGUUCGGAACAACUCCGGGAAACUGGAGCUAAUACCGGAUAAGCCCUAACGGGGAAAGAUUUAUCGCCGAAAGAUCGGCCCGCGUCUGAUUAGCUAGUUGGUGAGGUAACGGCUCACCAAGGCGACGAUCAGUAGCUGGUCUGAGAGGAUGAUCAGCCACACUGGGACUGAGACACGGCCCAAACCCCUCCGGGGGGCAGAAGUGGGGAAUAUUGGAAAAGGGGCCAAACCCGGAUCCCCCCAUGCCGGGGGAGUGAUGAAGCCUUUAGGGUUGUAAAGCUCUUUUGUCCGGGAAGAUAAUGACUGUCCCGAAAAAAUAACCCCCGCUUAAUUUCGU
RNAcentral lists this ribosomal RNA (430 nucleotides) under uncultured bacterium. Its description in RNAcentral is "partial 16S ribosomal RNA". It matches the Rfam family "Bacterial small subunit ribosomal RNA", at positions 29 to 506 of the family's 1533-position model. The record is from RNAcentral.